AACAUUUGGUGGUGGCCUUCGCAUUUGCGUGGCUGACUUGUAUAUUUUUGUCAAAUCUAAUACAAAAAAGCCCGCAAAUAGCGGGCUUUUUUGU
Molecule: regulatory RNA element, 94 nt
Organism: Gammaproteobacteria bacterium
Lineage: Bacteria; Pseudomonadati; Pseudomonadota; Gammaproteobacteria
Rfam family: Tryptophan operon leader
About the family: At least 6 amino acid operons are known to be regulated by attenuation. In each a leader sequence of 150-200 bp is found upstream of the first gene in the operon.
Source: Rfam